RNAcentral lists this unclassified non-coding RNA (531 nucleotides) under Pteronia camphorata var. camphorata. RNAcentral's name for it is "partial external transcribed spacer". The record is from RNAcentral. Lineage: Eukaryota; Viridiplantae; Streptophyta; Magnoliopsida; Asterales; Asteraceae.
UGCGGUGCAUUCUGUGGUCGUUUUUGGCUUUCGGUUGUUUGCUUGGCUUAUUUGCCUCGUAAGUGGCCGUUUGGUAGGAUGACUUCGGGGAUGUCUAUCGUAAAGGUGCAUGAGUGGUGUUUGGUUUGAUACGGGUGGUCGGCUCCCUGCUUGAGCNGGCACGGCCACGCGUACAUUCCUUUUCAGUCGUGCGGUAAGGCUUGUUUAGCCUUGUUNGUAUGUGCGGGUUUCCUGUGUUGCGUACCUGAUCAACGGCAUUGUCUUGAUCAAAUAAGACCCGAUUUCGUCAAGCGUUGCGUUUGUGACGUUGGACGGACCAUGUGGCACCCUCCUUGAUCCAUNCCGUUGAUGAGCAUUUGUCGACUGUAUGGCCCAUUGAGUCGUGUUUGGUAUCUAGGAUAUGGAAGCCAAAGUGGGCAUGGGUUCGUAUGAUCCUUUUUUUUGCCCUCGUUGAGCGUUCUCGCUUCUCUUAAACGACCACCUUUCACGUAUGGCACGUCCCAGCGUGUUUGGCUACGUCGAAGAGGAAUG